Long non-coding RNA from Zalophus californianus (California sea lion), 549 nucleotides. RefSeq lists it as uncharacterized. The record is from RefSeq and is a predicted model, not a curated record. The transcript has 3 exons. NCBI's taxonomy places the organism in Eukaryota, Metazoa, Chordata, Mammalia, Carnivora, Otariidae.
UGAGCGCGGCCGGCGGCCCCAGGCAGGCGUCCCCCCCGACGACGGAAGGAGGGAAGCAGCUCGGGAGAGCCACUGUGCGCCCUGGUGGGGAGAGGCCGGCCUGCGGGUCGCCUUCCCGGAGGUCAGCGUGUCCACGCGGCAGACCUGAGAGAGGCACCGGGUGGGAACGAGUGGGCUCCGGAGGAGAGAAGAGCUAUUUUCAGUGAGUUGGCAGAGAGGUAAUCUUUGAGGGAGCCUCUUGGAAGGUGGCAUGGGCACCCAGAGAAGGAGGACCCAACACUGGACAGAAUCUGGUCCCGGAAUGUGAGAGGCGUCCUCCGCAGCAGAAGAGAGCCACCACACUGCCCACAGGACCAUGAACUGAGAAGUUAAUUCCAGAACCGAGGAUUGUGUGGGAAUGUGACGCUUACACCCACCGUACCAGCCCAGCUUUGGUGCAAGGCUGCAAUCUCCCCAGCCUUCCAUGGAAAGUCCACAUCUGAAGGCCUCUCCUGAGCAUCUGGGACUCAUUAGGCUCUGGGCUCUGGGUCUGAGUAGAGCUUAAUAAAG